CACGGGUGAGUAACACGUAUCCAACCUAGCCGAUAACUCGGGGAUAGCCUUUCGAAAGAAAGAUUAAUAUCCGAUGGUAUAUUAAAACCGCAUGGUUUUACUAUUAAAGAAUUUCGGUUAUCGAUGGGGAUGCGUUCCAUUAGUUUGUUGGCGGGGUAACGGCCCACCAAGACAACGAUGGAUAGGGGUUCUGAGAGGAAGGUCCCCCACAUUGGGACUGAGACACGGUCCAAACUCCUACGGGAGGCAGCAGUGAGGAAUAUUGGUCAAUGGACGAGAGUCUGAACCAGCCAAGUAGCGUGAAGGAUGACUGCCCUAUGGGUUGUAAACUUCUUUUAUAUGGGAAUAAAGUAUUCCACGUGUGGGAUUUUGUAUGUACCAUAUGAAUAAGGAUCGGCUAACUCCGUGCCAGCAGCCGCGGUAAUACGGAGGAUCCGAGCGUUAUCCGGAUUUAUUGGGUUUAAAGGGAGCGUAGGUGGAUUGUUAAGUCAGUUGUGAAAGUUUGCGGCUCAACCGUAAAAUUGCAGUUGAAACUGGCAGUCUUGAGUACAGUAGAGGUGGGCGGAAUUCGUG
This 573-nucleotide ribosomal RNA is filed under the name uncultured Bacteroidales bacterium. RNAcentral's name for it is "bacterial SSU rRNA". It matches the Rfam family "Bacterial small subunit ribosomal RNA", at positions 100 to 672 of the family's 1533-position model. Lineage: Bacteria; Pseudomonadati; Bacteroidota; Bacteroidia; Bacteroidales. The record is from RNAcentral.